GUCAGUGGUAUGGUCAGAUAGACUAGUGGUUAGAGUGGUGGUCAGUAACUGGUAUGGUCAGAUAGACUAGUGGUUAGAUGGUGGGUCAGUAACUGGUAUGGUCAGAUAGACUAGUGGUUAGAGUGGUGGGUCAGUAACUGGUAUGGUCAGAUAGACUAGUGGUUAGAGUGUUGGGUCAGUAACUGGUAUGGUCAGGUAGACUAGUGGUUAGAGUGGUGGGUCAGUAACUGGUAUCGCUGGUUUGAAAACCUGACCCGUCAAGGUGAAAAUCUGUCGAUGUGCCCUUAAGCAAGACACUUACAUCUAAUUUGCUCCAUGGUCACCAUACUACUAUGACCCUGUAAAACAACACCUAUCAUCCUACUAUGACUGACCCUGUAAAACAACACCUAUCAUACUACCUGUAGUCGAUAUCAUCUACUGUAUCUUGCCUAUGCUGCUCUGUACCAUCACUCAUUCAUAUAUCCUUAUGUACAUAUUCUU
Molecule: long non-coding RNA, 483 nt
Organism: Oncorhynchus tshawytscha (Chinook salmon)
Lineage: Eukaryota; Metazoa; Chordata; Actinopteri; Salmoniformes; Salmonidae
Source: Ensembl